GAGAUUCAGCCAAAAGGGGCUGGAGCGUCCCGCUAUAGGCGGGAAGGUCAAGGGUUCGACUCCCUUAUUCUCCA
Molecule: transfer RNA, 74 nt
Filed under: unidentified
Description: Myroides sp. SCSIO 72103 tRNA-Tyr
Rfam family: tRNA
About the family: Transfer RNA (tRNA) molecules are approximately 80 nucleotides in length.
Source: RNAcentral